This 1371-nucleotide long non-coding RNA is filed under the name Homo sapiens (human). Its description in RNAcentral is "WARS2 antisense RNA 1". The record is from RNAcentral. Lineage: Eukaryota; Metazoa; Chordata; Mammalia; Primates; Hominidae.
GAAGGCAUGUACUUUCCCUAAGAAGCGGGAGGAGAGAAAUAAAUAGAGGGCAGUGGGAUGAGAAGAACCUCGCGGGAUGGGAAGCCGCGGAGGGAAGGGCCGUCUUUGGUUACCUGGAGAGCGGGAGCAGCUGCGGAUCCCUUAUGAAGUGCCCGGAUGAAGCUCCAGCGCUCACGCGCUUUCCGCAUUGAGUGCAGCGCCAUCUUGAGAAGGGCGGAGCCGUCUUGUUUGGAAUGACGUCUGUUCAGAGAGCCAAUCCCAGUCUCGCGACUCCUGCUUGCUGGGCGCGGCUUGGGCCUCCAGGCUGCGCAGCGCAGCCGCUAUCGGGCGGACUGCAGUUCUUGCCGAGCAGUCGCAAUGAUUUGUAUGACAGCUGCUAGCCCAAGAGAGAGUUCCAGAAGAGGGCUACCUAACAGGUGCUGUGGCAUUUAGAAGAGGAAUGGAGCCAUUGUCAACGCACAGCUUGCAGGGGAGCAGGAGAGUCAGUCUAAGAAGGAAAUGUGAUGAUGGAAACAGAGGUUGGAAGAUGGAAGAGGACCCAGAGUCAAGGAAUGCAGGUAGAAAAGAAAAGCCUGGAUUCUCCCCUAAAGCCUCCAGAUGGAACACAGCCCUGCCUCCACCUUGAUUUCAGGACUUCUUACCCCAAGAAUCGUGUCUGUCUUCAUCCUAAGGAGUCAACUGCUAUACCUUAGUGAUUUCAAUGUAAUUGUUUGGUCUGUAAGUCAUUCUUGCCACUGUGGUUCUGGGGCCAUUGUUCUGCAACGAUGAAUAAACAAUGUUUUAGAAAUCACUCAUCCAAGAAAGGUGACAAGAUACUGGAAUAGAGGUAUUUGAAAAAUAUUCAUGGGAAUUUUAGAGGAUUGUAGAUGGUCUGAAUACCUGUGAAGACAUCAUCUAAUGUAUCUAAAAACCACAUAAUGCUUCAUCUCAAUGUAUUUUAAGAAUUAAUUUUGUUAUAAGCUAGAAUUUUUCAUUUUGGUUUUAAUAAUAACAUCAAAAGGAUUUUUUAACAUAAAUUAGAAAGGGCAUACAUGGAGAAGUAAAGAAGAAUUCUUCUUGGGAUUAGCCAAAAAUUAGUGAGAGAUUACAUAUUUCCUUAGAUGAAAAAUCCUACAGGCAAACUUUUAAUGUCAGGGAGAGGAAUACUUUAUUACCUAAUAAUGUAGAUGAAAAGAAUAGCUAAGCAUUCUUUUUUAAAGCAGUAUACAGAAAUGAGGGAAAGGCUAAGAGGUUAACUCAUUUCUAUUUUGAACUCUAUUUUUUUUAAAACCCUUGCUCCAAAUUUUACUUACUAUCUUUUAAAUGUCAUCCUGCUAGAGUGUAAGUCUUUAGUUUUAGUUGCUUAAUAAAAAUUAAUUUUUUGUGACAAAA